GCGCUCCCAGGCAGAGUACGAGCUCAGAGUUGGAGCUCAGAGUUGGAGCUCAGAGUUGGAGUGUAAUUCAGGAGAUGUGAUCAGUCAGGGCUGAGUGGAGCAGAGCGGCAGCCUUAGAGAAGAGCUGUACACAUACACAGCAGCAGCCCAGAGAGGCACACAGAGCCUUCUCCUUAAAUGGUCAAAGCUCCCAUGAGUGAAAGAGAGGCUGGUGCUGGAAAACAAGACAGGGAAAGGAAAGGAAAAGAGACAGCUAGGUUUUCUGUGAAAAAAUCUGGGAAUUACAGUUUGACUGAGGGAAGGUUCUGUCGGGUGUUUUAUGUGGAGUUUAUGUGGAGCUAAGCAGUGAAGGUGGUAUCUCUCACAGGAGGUUACAGAGCUGUGACGAUUCAGAGGCACCCUGCACUGAUAACAACAAAACAAGCCAAGUCCAAUGUCCUGACUUUGUGCAAGACCAAAAGCACAACAGUACCAGCAGUGAUGUUCCUGCACCUGCAUUUUUAGGUUCCAUCCCAGUGUCAGAGACACAAACGCCCCCAGUGUCCCCAUCACAAGUCUUCCUCCAGUACGAGUGUGCCCCUUCACUUACCGUCCCAACGGAUACACCCCCCCAGUCUGCCUGUGUCAGUCACGCUGCCGCUCACACUGAGGAGAAUGUAGCAGGUCUCAGAUCGGAGGAUCCUAGUUGCCGUGACUACUGUCAGUCAGAGGCCCGCGACUGUGGGAGUGGCCAAGCAUUGCCGCCUGGAGACUUUGGGAGGAGUCAGCCAUCAAACCCAGAAGACAGUGCUGGUAGUAAAGCCUCUGAACCAGAAGAUAGUGGGAGGAGCAAUGUAUUACAACCAACAGAUAUUGGGUGUGAUCUAGAGCAUUGUGGGAGUUUCCAUUCUCGAGAUCUACCGACUGUUUUAAUAACAGGCUCAGAUAAGGUAAGUUAGGACUGAAUACUUUUAAUGAUUACUUUAAUGAGGAUAGCCUCUAUUAUUAUUAAAUACUCAAGUGAUUCCCAAAUCAUUGUAGUUCAAAAAUAAACACUCACACACACUAUUCUAAAUGGGCACAGACAGAAACAUAAGCAAGUUAUUUUACCCAUUUAAGGUGUACACAUCCUUCCAAAGCCAUGGUUUCCUUCACAAAAACCCCCUCCCAUACCCAGAAACGGAGUGAGUGGUGCUUGAGUGCUGGCUGUGGUGGGCACGGGUUGGCUGAUGGAUAGAGAGGCAGGGCAGGAUGAGGGAUGAGGGAUGACGGCCUAGGCUGGGCGGGGUUGGAAUGGAGACAGGGAGUCCUGGAGUGAGCGCUGGCAAAGACCAUUAGUCUCAGAGAGGGAGACUCCAGUAAGAAUGUGACCUCCGUCAACCCUGACAGAGCUCUGACUGAUGGCAUGUCUGAUUUGGAUGAUUCUGGCUCUGCUGAAUGACAUUUUCCAAGUCUAUUAUUUCCGUAGGCAUGUUGAAAUGGAUAGGAUAAAUAUAACUGUGUUUGUUUCCCCUUUAGAAUCAGAUUGUGAUUGUGUGGUUCGAUAUGCUCGUUUUAGUGUAAAUAUGGUAGUUCAAGCUAACCUUGCUCUGUGACGAUUUAAUUGCGACACUGCUAACUUUUCAUCCUCCAUUGUGCUACCUCGCUGCCCUCCCUGUUUGCCUGUCAUAGAUGUUCAGAUUUGUUGCAAGACAACGUUAUCUUGUUUUUCUUUGUUCAUUCUCAGAAUUAAAUAAGUCUAACUUUAAUAGCUGGAAGAAUGCGUUCCUCUGGGAUUCCCGUUCUCCCAGAUUAAUUUGGCUCAUCCGCCCCCGCCUCUGGGGAGACAAAGGUCACAUUUGUUUAUGCACAGUUCUGGAAGCUGCAGGACCUGCUAGGCAGGUCUAACACUAGAGAGAAGCAGCUGACAUGUCUGUGUGGUGGUUUGUCUGAUACUUAUUACAGUAAUAUGCCGCUAGAGAGUUGUGCUGGAUCUGGAAUAUUGCAAUGAUAAUUCAUUGCAUCAUAACCAAGUUAUUUGAGAGAAGGGCAAAUCCAUUGUAACAAAGUGACGCUGAGACUCUCUCUUUCACUUUAAAAUGUUUAAAGGCCCAAUUCAGCCAUUUCUAGCUCAAUAUCCAAUCAUUUCUGGAUAGCAAUUAAGUACCUUAUUAACCACGUUUUCAUGCAACCAUUUUAUGCGGAGGAAUUAACUCAUGAAAAAAGUCACAACCGGGCUGAUGGAAACAUAAAAUGUUGGUACAAUUGUAUAAAUGCCGACAAACAAUUUGUUUGUUCGACAUGGUAGGAUCUUUUUGUGUCGUUUAAAUUAAUUAUCUGAGAAAUAGCGUUGGAAACGCCUUCAUGGGGAAAUAUUGAUAUACUAACUAUCAUAUCGUGAUGAUAUGUUGUGUGGUCCUCCCACCACGACUCGGGAAAGCAGUUUAUUAAGCUACAGAUUAAAUACAUGAUGAUGAACUUCGCAGGGUGAUUAAUGUGCAAUGUGAUGCAAGGUGAUGAUCGAUGCUUGGCUGCCGUUUGACAAAGACAAAUAAUAUGUCUCUUAUCCAUAAUAAUCUCAUAAUAUAAGUAGACUACCCCCACUGUAUCUGUGACAUGUUGGUUAAACCGCAUGUGCCAAGACCAGAGUGGGCACAUUUGCUAUAUAACGCAACAAAUCCAUCAGUAGAGUUGAAAAUGCGAUGGAAACCCAUUUAACUUGUGUUUUUCAUUCAGUACAUGGGAAUUUAAUGGCAAAAGUCAUUUUUAUGUGCAUUAUCUCAUCGCGCACAGCCUUUUGUCUGCAAAAAGUCAGUUUGAUGGAAACACAUCUCUGGUGGAAAAUGGGCAUAUCGUUUGGAUGGAAACCUAGCUACUGUGAUUGUUUUCAAUCAAAAUGGUAAAUUUCUUUUUUUUAAAUAGCUUCUUAGCAAGAGCAGUGUCUCAAGCAAGAGAUCUGCUAGGACUGUCUGGAAGUGGUCUGAGUGGGGAUGGGAAAACUGAAAACUAUCUGUUCUUGGCAGAGAGGUUUGGAACUCUCUUUCUUAUUGGUCUAUUAUUAACAAAUUUACAGCCUAGUGAUGUCACCAGGUAGACCAAAACUCCAUCCCACCAAAACAGGCUGAAAGUACAGACAGUCUUUUCAAACAGCUCUUACACUGAAAGAGCAUUAUUAUAAUUUUCACAAUUUCACAGUAUUAGUCCAACCUCAUAGUGUGGAAAUGUAUAUCAAAACACAGAAAAUCUAGUUUUUGACUGCACUGAGCCUUUACCAAACCGUACCCCUAUACAGAAGUCUACUUUUAACAAUUGCCACUGAAAAUGUUACUAAAACACAUUUAUUAGAGGAACAGUGCAGAUGCAAAGUUUGUUAACAGAAUGACAGUAAAAUCUACCUCAGUUUUUUAUUUGACCACCUUUUCCAAAAACUCUAAAAUAUUUCAAAGAUGUCUGCAGAAAGAAUGGGGUGUUAGCUAUGAUAUGGCAUCUUGAGUUUGAAAAAAUCUACACUGAACAAAAAUAGAAAUGCAACAUGCGACAAUUUAAAAGAUUUUACUGAAUUACAAUUCAUAAAAGGAAAUCAGUCAAUUUAAGUAAAUUCAUUAGGCUCUAAUCCAAUGUUUCCCAACCCUGCUCCUCAAGUACCCCCAACAAUACACAUGUUUAUUGUAACCCUGGACAAGCACAUCUGAUUCAACUUGUCAACUAAUCAUCAAUCCCUCAAUGAGUUGAACAAGGUGUGUGUCUGGGGCUACAACGAAACUGUGUGCGGUUGUGGGUACUGGAGGACCAGGGCUGGGAAACACUGCUCUAAUCUAUGGAUUUCACAUGUCUGGGAAUACAGAUAUGCAUCUGUCGUCACAGAUACCUUAAAAAAAAGGUAGGGGUGUAGAUCAGAAAACCAGUCAGUGUCUGGUGUGACCACCAUUUGCCUCAUGCAGCGCGACACAUCUCCUUUGCAUAGAGUUAGACAGGCUGUUGAUUGUGGAAUGUUGUCCCACUCCUCUUCAAUGGCUGUGUGAAGUUUCUCUAUAUUGGCGGGAACGCUGUUGUACACGUCGAUCCAUCAAUAGGUGACAUGUCUGGUGAGUAUGUAGGCCAUGGAAGAACUGGGACAUUGUCAGCUUCCAGGAAUUGUGUACAGAUCCUUGCGAUAUGAGGCCAUGAAUUAUCAUGCUGAA
RNAcentral lists this long non-coding RNA (4139 nucleotides) under Salmo trutta (river trout). Its description in RNAcentral is "lncRNA (ENSSTUG00000050915.1)". The record is from RNAcentral. Lineage: Eukaryota; Metazoa; Chordata; Actinopteri; Salmoniformes; Salmonidae.